GCAGUGUUCCGGCUCUGUCGCCGGCACCUAUGGGUGCGGGAGGAAAGUCCGGGCAGCGUGAGGGUACCCUGCUUCCGAAAGUAGAAGCUAUCGGCGACGGUAGGCGACGCAGAAGAAAACAACCGCCUCAGCUGGCUUCCCGCCUAAUCGAGUUUCAAGAUAAAGCUGGAACCAGUUCGGGGUAAGGGUGAGAAGGUGGUGUAAGAGACCACCAGCCGCCGGGAGACCGUGCGGGCUGUGCUAACCAGGGGCUGCAAAUUCAUGUAAACCACCGAUACAGGAAACCCGCCCGAGUUCCCCUUCGGGAGAUGCGGUGGAGGGUAGAAUGCUUGAGCCGUCGGGCGACCGGCGGAGUAGAUAAAUGACAGGCACCGCACUAUUAUCGAAAGAUGAGUGCGGGACAAAACCCGGCUUAUAGGAACGACUGCUUUC
Molecule: RNase P RNA, 432 nt
Filed under: Prevotella sp.
Lineage: Bacteria; Pseudomonadati; Bacteroidota; Bacteroidia; Bacteroidales; Prevotellaceae
Description: RNase P RNA component class A
Rfam family: Bacterial RNase P class A
About the family: Ribonuclease P (RNase P) is a ubiquitous endoribonuclease, found in archaea, bacteria and eukarya as well as chloroplasts and mitochondria. Its best characterised activity is the generation of mature 5'-ends of tRNAs by cleaving the 5'-leader elements of precursor-tRNAs.
Source: RNAcentral